Molecule: long non-coding RNA, 3359 nt
Organism: Mesocricetus auratus (golden hamster)
Lineage: Eukaryota; Metazoa; Chordata; Mammalia; Rodentia; Cricetidae
Exons: 2
Source: RefSeq, a predicted model, not a curated record
AGAGAGAGAGAGAGAGAGAGAGACAGACAGACAGACAGACAGACAGACAGACAGACAGACAGACAGACACUUGGAGGAUUGAUGUUGAUGUGCUUGGGGGUAAAUUUCCUGGGCUCUGGCAUUCCUGAUGUCUUUCUUCAUGCUAUCCUAACCGUGUCAGUUAGCAUAGCUGCAGGUUCCAGAGAUUGGAUCCAGGGUGAUCCAUGCAUCUGUCUUAGAGUCCUCCUUGUUACCUAGCUUCUCUGGAGCAGUGCAUUGUAGCCUGGCUAUCCUUUGCUUUACAUCUAAUAUGCACUUAUGAGUGGGUAUACAUCAUUUUUGUCUUUCUGUAUGACUCCCAGAGACAUACAUACACAAACAGCUCACAGACAUCUCAGGAAACAAUGAACUUCCCAGUCAGACACUUCCUACUCACACACAUACAAAAAGAGCACACAGAAACACACUCGGACAUAUACCAAAACAUCCUUAGAGUUGUCAAUCACUUGGAACUAAACUCACAUAGCCCCUGCAGAAGAACAGAGACAUAAUGAGUAGCACGCACAAUCCCUGGAACAUGCAGCUCUGCUAACUGACAUGGUAAGGGGGCUUUGUAGAUAUGGUUAAGUAUCCUGAGGGGAAAAUCCUAGAAUAUCUGGGUGGUCCAACAUAAUCCGAAGUGUCACUAUAUGAGGGAAGCAUGAAAGCAAGGAUCAGAGAAGUCACAUAGUGAUGAAAGCAGAACAAGAGAAGGUAACAUGUCAGAGAGCUAGAGACAGAAAUAAAUGGGUACGGAGAGAUGGAGACAAGAGGAGGGUGCUAAAGGAGAGAAGUUAGUGGAUGAUGAAAUGUGGCUGUCUUCAAAGGUGGAGGAGGAAGGAGCAGUAAGGCACAGAACAUGGGCCUCCUCCUGGGGUGGAAUGUUCAAGUUGACUUGAAAAAGCGAAAUUACAGUUUUUCAUACCUAUAUCCACACAAGACCAUUUGAUGUAUUUGGUUUUCAAACUUAUUUUUGAUGGAUGAGACUGGGUCUUGCUAUGUUGCCAAGUCUGGCCUCAAAUUCCUGAGCUCAAGUAAUCUCACUGCCUACACUUUAAUUUCAAUCAUACUUACUAAAACUUGUCCGUCUUCUGAAGAAAUAUAAAUUUGUGUUGUUUUACAACAAAAAAAGUGAUGGUUUGUUUCUGCAUACACACCAUUCUAGGUUAAGGUAUGUCUGUCUGACUCCUGGUACAUAUCCCUGGUUGGGAGCUCCAUGAUAUGCAUGUGUCUGAUGAUGGCAAUCUCUCACCUCUAGGUUGGAAUAUGAAGUGAUAAAUGAACUCUCCGACCUCCCAAUACAGAAUAUUGGGUCUAGGAAUUGUUUCUCGUAUUCCUGGCCCCAGAUGUCUCUAACAAAUAAAAAAAAUGUAGAAACAUCAGAUACUUCAUAUACCAGAUUAGGAAACCAAGAGAGACAUGAAGUGACUGCUGCUGAGCAGUAGGGCUGGGAUCAAUCUGGGUCAGGCUGGCAGGCAGCCUCCAAGCUCUACUGUACUCCUACCGGCUCUACUGUACUUACUGCCUUGAAGUGUUUGAGAGUACUAGAGGGAUCCUCAGGUCUGAGGAUACUAGAAGGCCUGGAUCUAAGCAGGUAGACCACGGCAAGACAGAAGUCAAGAAACAAUAUGGAGAGAAUGGAUGAAAGAGGGCAAGGUAAGGAAGAGGUGAGAGGACUCCUGGAAGGAGCAAGGGCACUACACCCAAGAGACUGAGCCUUCUAUGCGGUGUAGGUGCUGCUUCCUAGAAGAUCCUGUGUAUAUAGAGGGCUUUUCCUCUACCUUGAGCAAUACAAUUAUACUGACUGGAUUCCUGUUUGGGAUCUUCUAGAAAGAUGCCUAUAUUCCAAACUAUCCAAAUCACUCUGGGGUGAAGACACUUCUGGAGUAUGGAGAGCUCAAGCUUCCUCCAGGUCUUAAGAGUGGAAGCUCACAGAGUAGUGGUGGUGUACACCUUUAAUCCCAGCACUCGGGAGGCAGAGGCAGGCUAGGUUGAGGCCAGCCAGAGAUACACAGAGAAACCCUGUCUCAAAAAAUCAAAAGAGAAAAAAGAGCAAAAGCCUCUCCUCGUCAUCAGCAUUGCUGCUACAAGUGGACACCCUCAGAUGUGCCCUCUGGCCAGCUACUGUUACUUUCCAAACAGUACCUGAUAAAUACACAUUUAGACAGUCAAGAUCCAGGGAAGCUAAAUCUAUCAAGCAGUGAGAUUUGUCUACACACAGAAUUUGCUGCGCAAUGGUGGCACACGCCUUUAAUCCCAGCACUCGGGAGGCAGAGGCAGGUGGAUCUCUGUGAGUUUAAGGACAGCCUGGUCUAUAGAGUGAGUUCCAGGACAGCUAAAGCUAUACAGAGAAACCCUGUCUCAAAAGAAAGAAGCUGACCAACACUAAAUGUCUGCCAUGUCUUACUUUAAGAUGUGUUACUUUAUGCUAGUUGCUCACCCAGACCCUUUUAAAGCACAAAAUUAAAGCACACCCCCCCCAAACCUCCCUGACACAGAGGUAAGACUAAUGAGUCAUUUCCAGCCAAUAGAUGAUUACUUCCAGGCCUGAAUCAUUAGUACCUCCCUCUCCAGUCCCUACUACAAAAUGUUGACGAUCUGACAGUGACCUGAAGGCCCUAAGAUACAAGACAGGCACAAAAGGGGAAUAAAAUUCUAGGGGGUGGGAGUCAGUAUUUGAACAAGAUAGCCACCAAAACACCCAUACUAGAGUGUUCACAAGCCAGGCAAACCUCGUAGACAAGGCAUGGUGACACAUGUUCGUAAUCCUAGCACUGGGAGGGAGAAGUAGGAUGAUUGUGACCUCAAAGACAACCUGUGCUAUAGAGGGAGACUCUGCCUCAAAACAAUGUAGACCAACUCCUAAUGCAUUAAGCCACAAAGAUCUGGGGAUUAUUGAUUUUAAAAAAGCUAGCCUGCGGGCUGGACCGAUAGCCUCCAAAACAAUAAACCAAAAAAAAAAAAAAAAAGCUAGCCUGCAUCAUGUGCCAUCCAGCUUUUCCCCAGGGUAACCUAAAAGUCUAGUUCAGUGGUUCUCAACCAUUGUACGGCAGCUAACUUUUAAUAGCAUUCCUCAUGCUGUGGUGACCCCUACCCAUAAAAUUAUUUUCACUGCUACUUUAAGUGUCAUCCUGCCAAACCUUCAUCCAAGAUGAGCCUACAUGCUAAUUUAGAUUUACUGUUUGUGAUACAAUGACCCUUACCACAAAAUGAAAGAACUUGCCUUUUCAGGUGAUGCAACCCUAUGCCCAGACCACAUACAUAGCUUUGGAAAGGUUUGUUGCCUGAAGCUCGGGUCCCACUUUCUUUACUGUAUGCCCUUAUAAAGUCAAUUGUGGUGA